AAACAGGCCCAAUCCUCAUACCAGCGAAACUGCGAAUGGCUCAUUAUAUAAGUUAUCGUUUAUUUGAUAGUACCUUACUACUUGGAUAACCGUGGUAAUUCUAGAGCUAAUACAUGCUAAAAAUCCCGACUUCGGAAGGGAUGUAUUUAUUAGAUUAAAAACCAAUGCCCCUCGGGGCUCUCUGGUGAUUCAUAAUAACUUCUCGAAUCGCACGGCCUUGCGCCGGCGAUGGUUCAUUCAAAUUUCUUCCCUAUCAACUUUCGAUGUUUGGGUAGUGGCCAAACAUGGUUGCAACGGGUAACGGAGGGUUAGGGCUCGACCCCGGAGAAGGAGCCUGAGAAACGGCUACUACAUCCAAGGAAGGCAGCAGGCGCGCAAAUUACCCAAUCCCGAUUCGGGGAGGUAGUGACAAUAAAUACUGAUACAGGGCUCUUUCGGGUCUUGUAAUUGGAAUGAGUACAAUUUAAAUCCCUUAACGAGGAACAAUUGGAGGGCAAGUCUGGUGCCAGCAGCCGCGGUAAUUCCAGCUCCAAUAGCGUAUAUUAAAGUUGUUGUGGUUAAAAAGCUCGUAGUUGAACCUUGGGCCUGGCUGGCCGGUCCGCCUCACCGCGUGUCACUGGUCCGGCCGGGUCUUUCCCUCUGUGGAACCACAUGCCCUUCACUGGGCGUGGCGGGGAAACAGGACUUUUACUUUGAAAAAAUUAGAGUGCUCCAGGCAGGCCUAUGCUCGAAUACAUUAGCAUGGAAUAAUGAAAUAGGACGUGCGGUUCUAUUUUGUUGGUUUCUAGGACCGCCGUAAUGAUUAAUAGGGACAGUCGGGGGCAUCAGUAUUCAAUUGUCAGAGGUGAAAUUCUUGGAUUUAUUGAAGACUAACUACUGCGAAAGCAUUUGCCAAGGAUGUUUUCAUUAAUCAGGAACGAAAGUUAGGGGAUCGAAGACGAUCAGAUACCGUCGUAGUCUUAACCAUAAACUAUGCCGACUAGGGAUCGGACGAUGUUAUUUAGUUGACUCGUUCGGCACCUUACGAGAAAUCAAAGUGCUUGGGCUCACAAGGGGGAGUAUGGUCGCAAGGCUGAAACUUAAGAAAUUUGACGGAAGA
This 1099-nucleotide ribosomal RNA is filed under the name Metarhizium sp. 1 AM-2020a. RNAcentral describes it as "SSU rRNA". It matches the Rfam family "Eukaryotic small subunit ribosomal RNA", at positions 65 to 1163 of the family's 1831-position model. Lineage: Eukaryota; Fungi; Ascomycota; Sordariomycetes; Hypocreales; Clavicipitaceae. The record is from RNAcentral.